Molecule: ribosomal RNA, 434 nt
Filed under: uncultured Pediococcus sp.
Lineage: Bacteria; Bacillati; Bacillota; Bacilli; Lactobacillales; Lactobacillaceae
Description: bacterial SSU rRNA
Rfam family: Bacterial small subunit ribosomal RNA
Source: RNAcentral
UAUAACGCGAAGACCUUACCAGGUCUUGACAUCUUCUGACAGUCUAAGAGAUUAGAGGUUCCCUUCGGGGACAGAAUGACAGGUGGUGCAUGGUUGUCGUCAGCUCGUGUCGUGAGAUGUUGGGUUAAGUCCCGCAACGAGCGCAACCCUUAUUACUAGUUGCCAGCAUUAAGUUGGGCACUCUAGUGAGACUGCCGGUGACAAACCGGAGGAAGGUGGGGACGACGUCAAAUCAUCAUGCCCCUUAUGACCUGGGCUACACACGUGCUACAAUGGAUGGUACAACGAGUCGCGAGACCGCGAGGUUAAGCUAAUCUCUUAAAACCAUUCUCAGUUCGGACUGUAGGCUGCAACUCGCCUACACGAAGUCGGAAUCGCUAGUAAUCGCGGAUCAGCAUGCCGCGGUGAAUACGUUCCCGGGUCUGUACACACCG